ACACGACUACAUUAGAUACCCGGGUAGUCCCAGCCCUAAACGAUGCGCGUUAGGUGUAUCGGUGACCACGAGUCACCGAGGUGCCGAAGGGAAACCGUGAAACGUGCCGCCUGGGAAGUACGGUCGCAAGGCUGAAACUUAAAGGAAUUGGCGGGGGAGCACCACAACGGGUAGAGCCUGCGGUUUAAUUGGACUCAACGCCGGGAAGCUCACCGGAUAAGACAGCGGAAUGAUUGCCGGGCUGAAGACCCUGCAUGACCAGCUG
Molecule: ribosomal RNA, 265 nt
Filed under: uncultured archaeon
Lineage: Archaea
Description: partial 16S ribosomal RNA
Rfam family: Archaeal small subunit ribosomal RNA
Source: RNAcentral